GAUGAAGAACGCAGAGAAAUGCGAUAAGUAAUGUGAAUUGCAGAAUUCAGUGAAUCAUCGAAUCUUUGAACGCACAUUGCGCCCGCCAGUAUUCUGGCGGGCAUGCCUGUUCGAGCGUCAUUUCAACCAUCAAGCCCCAGGCUUGUGUUGGAGCCCUGCGGCUGCCGCAGCCUCCCAAAACCAGUGGCGGGCUCGCUAUCACACCGAGUGCAGUAGUUUACUCUUCGCUCAGGGCGUGUGGCGGGUGCUAGCCGUGAAACCCCCAACUUCUCAAGGUUGACCUCGGAUCAGGUAGGAAUACCCGCAGAAAUUAAGCAUAUCAAUAAGCGGAGGA
RNAcentral lists this unclassified non-coding RNA (334 nucleotides) under soil metagenome. Its description in RNAcentral is "partial contains 5.8S ribosomal RNA, internal transcribed spacer 2, and large subunit ribosomal RNA". The stretch from base 1 to 120 matches the Rfam family "5.8S ribosomal RNA", at positions 35 to 154 of the family's 154-position model. The record is from RNAcentral.